ACGUGAUCUAGAUCUUGAAUGAAGAAAUGAUCAUAGGAAAAACAUUGAACAGAGCAGUUAACAGCAUUUUUUUCUAACUUGAAACGUCAAUAAUAAUUUUAUUUCCGGAAAAAUAUCUCGAGAAAUUUUUUCUUUUCAAAUAAACCAAGAUAAAAUUGCUUACUCGACAUAAAAGGUUUUAUCCAGUCAAUAAUGUCUUGGAAAAUCAGUUAAUAGUAGGGUAACCUCAAUUCGGUGAUAAAAAUUUUAACAAUAUUUUUAGACGCUUCAGAUGAUACAAAUCUAUUUUGAUUGUGACAUCAUAAUGAACAAGAUUUCCUGAAUUUUAAAAACUCGAAUAUUAAUAAUUAACUCGAUGGUACAGCAGAGGCACUUUGAAAAAAAGUUGUCCACCAGUGUAAAAACAGUGUAAAAUCGAAAUUUAUUCAAGCAAUCCUUUUGAAAUUUGGCAUGGUACUUACACAAUUGACCAGGUGAUAAUCAGUGUUUUCGAUUCUAAAUGUCAACAACGGACAACAUUUUCUGAAGUGCCUCUGAAGAUGUGCUAUCGUUGAGUUAAUUAUUGGUGUUCGGGUUUAAAAAAUUCCAGAAAUAUUGUUAAUGUAUUGUAAUAUGAUGUCACAAUUAAUAAAAUUGAUCUAGUUUGUUAUAA
This is a long non-coding RNA of Venturia canescens, 652 nucleotides long. RefSeq lists it as uncharacterized. Lineage: Eukaryota; Metazoa; Arthropoda; Insecta; Hymenoptera; Ichneumonidae. The record is from RefSeq and is a predicted model, not a curated record. The transcript has 2 exons.